RNAcentral lists this ribosomal RNA (24 nucleotides) under uncultured fungus. RNAcentral describes it as "partial 28S ribosomal RNA". The record is from RNAcentral. Lineage: Eukaryota; Fungi.
UGACCUCAGAUCAGGUAGGACUAC